CCCGCUCAGAUUGAACGCUGGCGGCAGGCCUAACACAUGCAAGUCGAGCGGAUGAAGGGAGCUUGCUCCUGGAUUCAGCGGCGGACGGGUGAGUAAUGCCUAGGAAUCUGCCUGGUAGUGGGGGAUAACGUCCGGAAACGGGCGCUAAUACCGCAUACGUCCUGAGGGAGAAAGUGGGGGAUCUUCGGACCUCACGCUAUCAGAUGAGCCUAGGUCGGAUUAGCUAGUUGGUGGGGUAAAGGCCUACCAAGGCGACGAUCCGUAACUGGUCUGAGAGGAUGAUCAGUCACACUGGAACUGAGACACGGUCCAGACUCCUACGGGAGGCAGCAGUGGGGAAUAUUGGACAAUGGGCGAAAGCCUGAUCCAGCCAUGCCGCGUGUGUGAAGAAGGUCUUCGGAUUGUAAAGCACUUUAAGUUGGGAGGAAGGGCAGUAAGUUAAUACCUUGCUGUUUUGACGUUACCAACAGAAUAAGCACCGGCUAACUUCGUGCCAGCAGCCGCGGUAAUACGAAGGGUGCAAGCGUUAAUCGGAAUUACUGGGCGUAAAGCGCGCGUAGGUGGUUCAGCAAGUUGGAUGUGAAAUCCCCGGGCUCAACCUGGGAACUGCAUCCAAAACUACUGAGCUAGAGUACGGUAGAGGGUGGUGGAAUUUCCUGUGUAGCGGUGAAAUGCGUAGAUAUAGGAAGGAACACCAGUGGCGAAGGCGACCACCUGGACUGGUACGGACAGGUGAUCUGCCCAGUUCGUAAAUGAG
This 757-nucleotide ribosomal RNA is filed under the name Pseudomonas aeruginosa. RNAcentral describes it as "bacterial SSU rRNA". It matches the Rfam family "Bacterial small subunit ribosomal RNA", at positions 19 to 776 of the family's 1533-position model. Lineage: Bacteria; Pseudomonadati; Pseudomonadota; Gammaproteobacteria; Pseudomonadales; Pseudomonadaceae. The record is from RNAcentral.